Molecule: long non-coding RNA, 203 nt
Filed under: Malus domestica (apple)
Lineage: Eukaryota; Viridiplantae; Streptophyta; Magnoliopsida; Rosales; Rosaceae
Description: long non-coding RNA (MDOM_LNC005686)
Source: RNAcentral
AGGGGAAGAUUUAAACAACUCCUUAGGGUCGAAUUCAUUGUUUUGGACCCCUUCUUCAUCAAACAACACUUUAGGACUCUUUUUCAUUUCUUUUCAACUCUUUUCGCAUUCUUUUCAUAUUUUUCUUUUCUUUUUUUCUUUCUUUUUACCCGUGCCUAUGGCACAUAAUUCCUUAUGAAAAACACUUCCCCCACACUUGUUUU